AUACGUAGGACGCAAGCGUUGCUCGGAAUCACUGGGCGUAAAGCGCGCGUAGGCGGCUUCGUAAGCCAGGGGUGAAAGCCCCCGGCUCAACCGGGGAAUUGCCCUUGAAACUGCGGAGCUUGAGUGCGGUAGAGGGAGACGGAAUUCCCGGUGUAGCGGUGAAAUGCGUAGGUAUCGGGAGGAACACCGGUGGCGAAGGCGGUCUCCUGGGCCGCCACUGACGCUGAGGCGCGAAAGCAUGGGGAGCGAACAGGAUUAGAAACCCUAGUAGUCC
RNAcentral lists this ribosomal RNA (274 nucleotides) under uncultured bacterium. RNAcentral's name for it is "partial 16S ribosomal RNA". It matches the Rfam family "Bacterial small subunit ribosomal RNA", at positions 523 to 796 of the family's 1533-position model. The record is from RNAcentral.